Molecule: ribosomal RNA, 468 nt
Filed under: uncultured bacterium
Lineage: Bacteria
Description: partial 16S ribosomal RNA
Rfam family: Bacterial small subunit ribosomal RNA
Source: RNAcentral
GACGAACGCUGGCGGCGUGCUUAACACAUGCAAGUCGAACGGAAAGGCCCUGCUUUUGUGGGGUGCUCGAGUGGCGAACGGGUGAGUAACACGUGAGUAACCUGCCCUUGACUUUGGGAUAACUUCAGGAAACUGGGGCUAAUACCGGAUAGGAGCUCCUGCUGCAUGGUGGGCGUUGGAAAGUUUCGGCGGUUGGGGAUGGACUCGCGGCUUAUCAGCUUGUUGGUGGGGUAGUGGCUUACCAAGGCUUUGACGGGUAGCCGGCCUGAGAGGGUGACCGGCCACAUUGGGACUGAGAUACGGCCCAGACUCCUACGGGAGGCAGAAGUGGGGAAUAUUGCACAAUGGGCGGAAGCCUGAUGCAGCAACGCCGCGUGCGGGAUGACGGCCUUCGGGUUGUAAACCGCUUUCGCCUGUGACGAAGCGUGAGUGACGGUAAUGGGUAAAGAAGCACCGGCUAGCUACGUG